GGCCUUCCUCCCUGGUCCCGCCCUCUUCAGGCCCCGCCCCGAGCCCCGCCCAGCCUCCCGACUCACUCCGCGCCAAGCCCAGCUUGCGGUCGCGCGCGCGCUGCCGGCGCAGCUCGGCCAGGAACCUGCCGGGCACAGGGGCUCAGGGCUGCCAGUCUCGGAAGAAAGUCUCUCCCACCUGCCACUCGCUAUGGCCAGGACCCAGGGGCUCUGUGCCCCCCCCCCAUCCUCACCUAGCCAUGAUGUUGACCUCCAAGCCCCUGGGGUCAUCGAUGUAGUAGAAUUUCUCUCCAGGCUCCACCACGACCUCAAAGCUGGGCAGCACUGGGGGAGACACCGUGUCGGCAGGCAGGGGUGCAGGGCAGGGAGCGAGGGCCCCGCACCCCCCUGGCCCUGAGCUUACCAUACUCCUUCACCUCAAACUGCGCAGAGAAGACCUGCUUGGGCGAGUGCUCGUAGAAGGCCUGGAUCUUCCACUGCCCCAUGCUGGGGGAGAGGGGGAAGUGUGGCCAGGCUGAGGGGCCACACACCCCACCCCUCCUGGACAGCCUGACCUACUUGACCAGCUCCGGGAUGUUCCAAGACAAGGGCAAGAUGCCAUACUGGUUGUGGGAAGACAGGGUGUCCCGCUUUAUAGGGAUGCCAUCGGGGGUCUGCAAGGAGACACAGGGAUGAGCAUGGUGAAGGGGCCCUUCUGACACCAAGCUUAGCCUCCAGCACAAUUUGGUGCCACUAUUGACCCCCUCUCCCUCCAUCACAGCUAUAGGGCCUGCCAUUAAGAAAGUGGACUUAGCCUAGGUUCAAAUCUACAGUGUGCCACUCACAAGCUGUGUGACCUUGGACAAGUUAUUCAACCUCUCUGUGCUCCAUGUUCAUGUCUAGAAAAGAGAUGAUAAGGGCUCCUACCUCACUGGCUUGGGACUUAGUUCAUAUAAGCAGGAACUCAUUAGUGUCAGUGUAUCUCGGGACCCUGCUGAUUAGUAGCAUUUACUACCCACUUUUGUGCAGGACUCUGAGCAUUUGAUUAGAUCAAAGCCCACGUCAUGGCCGACAUUCGACUUUUGGCCUCCAAGAUCAGCAAGUUCGUGUUAUUCGACCUAUACAUAUACAAGUUCGUUAAACCUGGUUUUCUGGCUUCUGUUGGAGUUUAGGAAGUUCUGUGGAUAAUGUGCUCCUGCCUCAGCCUCCCGGAGUGCCGGGAUGACGGGCGUGCGUGCAGGAGGCCUGUGAGACUGGAACAGGGAGUAAGGAGGAGAAAGGGCGAGGGGAGGCUGGGGGAGAUUAGAAGCAGGUUGUCAGGGGCUUCGUGGGGAGUGACCCUCACUAAAGUGCUCACGCGCGCCCUCUAGUGACUGCAGGCGACACCACCGAAUUAUUUUUGUCUAGCAUUGUCACCAACUCCAGGUGGGAAACAGGCUCAGGGAGGUGAAAUGACCCUGGAUUUAUCUGAACCCGGAAUCCGUGAUCUCUGGUCUCUGCCCGCCCCUCCCCGGCUUCUCUGAGUUUUUGUUUGGGUCUCUCUGCUCUGGGGCCCCUGUCCCCGGCCUCUCGCUCGGCCUGUCCAUCCCCAAGCUCUGCCCUGAUGUCCCCAGGCCCGGUGGGCUGGUACCUCGAUGAUGACAAUGACAGUCCGGCCCACGGGCAGCAGAUCGUGGUCCACGGUGAAGAUCCGAUAGAGGACUGUGAGGAGGUGGCAGAGACAGGAAGGGUGGGUGAGCCUGGGUCCCCUGCACUGCAGGCCCCUUCGGCCGGCCCGGCCCCCCAGCCGGCCCGGCCCUACCCGUGGAGCCCGGCGUGUAGAUGGUCUUGUCCGUCUGGAUGAAGAGGUACCCGCUCUGCAGGCUGACCAGCACUACCUUCUCCAGCUGCGUGCCCCCGAAGGCCGCCUGCACGAUCACGAACUUGUGCCCCUUAUCCGACCGGAACUCCUUGCUGGACGGGAUCUGGGCCAGAGCCGGGGGUGUGGUCAGGGGGUCUGCUGGUGGCCACACCCGGCUUCCAGCCUCUGACCAGACCACUGCCCCUCCUACUCUUUCUCACUACACAG
This is a long non-coding RNA of Heterocephalus glaber (naked mole-rat), 2047 nucleotides long. The record is from Ensembl. NCBI's taxonomy places the organism in Eukaryota, Metazoa, Chordata, Mammalia, Rodentia, Bathyergidae.